RNAcentral lists this transfer RNA (64 nucleotides) under Stilicoderus aquilinus. Its description in RNAcentral is "tRNA-Asp". Lineage: Eukaryota; Metazoa; Arthropoda; Insecta; Coleoptera; Staphylinidae. The record is from RNAcentral.
AAAAAUUUAGUUAAGUUAUAACAUUAGUUUGUCAAACUAAAAUCAUUAAAUAUAAUAAUUUUUA